Molecule: ribosomal RNA, 253 nt
Filed under: uncultured bacterium
Lineage: Bacteria
Description: partial 16S ribosomal RNA
Rfam family: Bacterial small subunit ribosomal RNA
Source: RNAcentral
UACAGAGGUCCCAAGCGUUACUGAGAAUCACUGGGUUUAAAGGGUGCGUAGGUGGUCCGUUAAGUCAGUUGUGAAAUCCCCGGGCUUAACCUGGGAACUGCGUUUGAAACUACAAGGCUAGAGUGUGGCAGAGGGGGGUGGAAUUCCACGUGUAGCAGUGAAAUGCGUAGAGAUGUGGAGGAACACCGAUGGCGAAGGCAGCCCCCUGGGUUAACACUGACGCUCAGGCACGAAAGCGUGGGGAGCAAACAGG